This 1113-nucleotide long non-coding RNA is filed under the name Oryctolagus cuniculus (rabbit). Its description in RNAcentral is "lncRNA (ENSOCUG00000035854.1)". The record is from RNAcentral. Lineage: Eukaryota; Metazoa; Chordata; Mammalia; Lagomorpha; Leporidae.
AGGUAUCUCCUCCAGCACUGUCCUUGCCACCAAACAGCUAUUCUCCUGGGGCAACACUUUCCUUUCUACCCCUGGCUGACAGAGAAUUUCAGGAAUAGCGGCCUGGUCCCUCCUGUAACCAUCAUCCAGCUGUCUUCUUCGGCAGGACAGAUAUUAGCCCAGAUUUUAGGUCAUUCCAACCCACCUAGGGAACAGCCCCAACUAGAAUCCCAAGCACUUGCCAAGCUCUCUGCCAGCAGGUGGCCUGCCAGCCUCCAAGAUUCAUUCACUCAGUUUAGUGUGGGCAACUUUUUUUUUUUUAGAUUUAUUUAUUUAUUUAAAAGUCAGAGUUACACACAGAGAGAAGGAGAGGCAGAGAGAGAGGUCUUCCAUCUGCUGGUUCACUCCCCAAUUGGCUGCAAUGGCCGGAGCUGUGCCAUCCAAAGCCAGGAGCCAGGAUCUUCCUUCAAGUCUUCCCUUUUGGGUGCAAGGGCCCAAGGACUUGGGCCAUCUUCUACUUCUUUCCCAGGCCAUAGCAGAGAGCUGGAUCAGAAGAGGAGCAGACAGGAUUCGAACCAGCACCCAUAUGGGAUGCCAGCACUGCAGAUGGCAGCUUUAUCCACUACACCACAGCGCUGGCCCCAGUGUGGGCAACUUUCUUUUAUUAUUAUUAUUUAUUUGACAGGUAGAGCUAUAGACAGUGAGAGAGAGACACAGAGAGAAAGGUCUUCCUUCUGUUGGUUCACUCCCCAAAUGGCCGCCACGGCACUGCGCCAAUCCAAAACCAGGAGGCAGGUGCUUCUUCCUGGUCUCCCGUGCAGGUGCAGGGGGCCCAAGUACCUGGGCUAUCCUCCACUGCCCUCCCCCUUUUUUAUUAUUAUAUGUGGGCAACUUUCAAUCUUCACCCUCCCUUUGGCUCUAUGUCCCUCUCCAGUGCUUCCACUGCAUCAUCUGGUGCUGCUGCGUACCCUAGUCUCAACAAAUCAUGGAUUCAACUUUGCUCCUGAGACUGGACAGACUGCAGGACAAUUCCAGACAUGGACAACAGACUGUUUGGGUGUUUGGCUGCAGAGGCAUGGCCACAGCCUCAUCAUGGUUCAAGUUCUAGCGAGCAACAUGUUCAACAGCCAUUAG